RNAcentral lists this non-coding RNA (169 nucleotides) under Aspergillus parasiticus SU-1. Its description in RNAcentral is "Eukaryotic large subunit ribosomal RNA". It matches the Rfam family "Eukaryotic large subunit ribosomal RNA", at positions 967 to 1124 of the family's 3401-position model. Lineage: Eukaryota; Fungi; Ascomycota; Eurotiomycetes; Eurotiales; Aspergillaceae. The record is from Rfam by way of RNAcentral.
UUUCCCUCAGGAUAGCAGUAACGCGAAUUCUGUUUUAUGAGGUAAAGCGAAUGAUUAGAAGGUUUGGGGUUGAACAACCUUAACCUAUUCUCCAACUAAUCAUAUAUGAUACCUAAAGUCCUAAAGCGAAAAUGAUAGUGAGGACUUCAUCUCUUCCUUUGAAGUUACA